GUGUUCCUACGGGAGGCAGCAGUAGGGAAUUUUCGUCAAUGGGCGCAAGCCUGAACGAGCAAUGCCGCGUGAACGAGGAAGGUCUUCGGAUCGUAAAGUUCUGUUGAAGGGGAAAAAGAGCGGAGAGAGGAAAUGGUCUCCGAUUGAUAUUACCCUUCGAGGAAGUCACGGCUAACUACGUGCCAGCAGCCGCGGUAAUACGUAGGUGGCAAGCGUUAUCCGGAAUUACUGGGUGUAAAGGGAGCGUAGGCGGGACGGCAAGUCAGAUGUGAAAACUGAGGGCUCAACCUUCAGACUGCAUUUGA
This 305-nucleotide ribosomal RNA is filed under the name uncultured bacterium. RNAcentral describes it as "bacterial SSU rRNA". It matches the Rfam family "Bacterial small subunit ribosomal RNA", at positions 333 to 630 of the family's 1533-position model. The record is from RNAcentral.